RNAcentral lists this long non-coding RNA (1448 nucleotides) under Cyanistes caeruleus (blue tit). Its description in RNAcentral is "lncRNA (ENSCCEG00000012765.1)". The record is from RNAcentral. Lineage: Eukaryota; Metazoa; Chordata; Aves; Passeriformes; Paridae.
UCUUUUGCUUCUGAAGCACACAGAUUCUAAAUGGAAAAAUACAUAUUUUUCUUAUUCUUCUGACAGAUAAUUUCUUCAUAGCUGCAGUGUCUCUGAGUGGGAAUUUCAGUCCAAGUCAACAUUCUUACAUGAUGCCUGCUUGUUUUCUGUAAGAAAAAAAAGAAAUUGCCUUCCUGCAAAAUAAUUUCUGGCAUGAUGAAAAACCUGAGAGGAUUGAGAAGAUGCUCUUCAGCCACCUCCUUGCCUGGACACUUCGGUAUUAUCUGUCGUUGCUGAUUUGCUUUCUGUAGAGCCUGUCAGAUUCUAACAUCUCUGUUGCAGUGGGAUCACACAUCAAAAGACUUUUACCCUCACUUGCUGAAUAUUUUUGGAAUUUAACAACUGCCUUUCUCUUUAAGUUUUGGUUUUGUCAGCCAGCUUCGCAAACUCUACCUUGCUGAUGUAGGAAGCAAAACACCAACAGUAGCUAAUCAGUCAGAGUCAGUCCUCUGUUCUGAUGGCCCUCACAGCUGAUAAACAGGAACCUUAUAUCUGGGACCACAAGUUUCUUUGGCAGAGGUGGAAGGGCUCAGCUGCAGAAUCUCAUAAAAGCCUUUUGCUGGCAUGGAGUACCCAAGAAAUUUACUCUUCGCUGCUAAAUUUCAGAGACAGAGAAGCACCAGGAGUAAAAUCGCAGGUCUUAAACUGAAAUGAAGUAGCAGGAGUUCUGCUUUUAACACAUGGGAGUGAAUUAUUAUUCUCUGAUGUGAAUAAAACUCUCAGCUGGAGCAGUGUGUAAAGUACUAAGUAUCAUCCUUGCGGGAAUGUGAAGGAUAUCCAGAAGAAAAGAAAUCCAACAGGUUUGGAAAACAGUGAAAAUCAUGAAAGAAUUCCACUCUGAUAAUUCAUACUAUUUCAGCCUGAGGCUGCCAAAUCCACCUGGACAUAUCCACAUUUUAGGAUCAAUUGUGAGUGCUCUUCCAUCAUCAGAGAGCGUGUGGAGAGUGAUACAUGCAACUAACACUCCGUGGGAGCAGAGAACUGCCAAGAGCUGGUGCAAACACAGGAAGCUGCCAGCAGCCUUCUCUCUGUCUAUGAGAAGUACUAUAAAGCAGCAGGGAAUUGGAAUCUUUUGUCUUCUCAGCCUUCAAAUACUUCAAAUUAUGGAAGGCAGCAGGUCUAGUGUUAGGACUUCCUCUCUUCCUCUCACCUUAAAACUCACUGUCCAGGAAAGUAGAAACUGAGUUCCAUAAAUAUAUAAUGAGAAAAAGAAAGGUUGCUGUCAACUCAUAUGUGUUGUAGUGGUUAAUGGCACUAUAGAUCUCAAGUGCUGACUUCCUUUUGGAAAACACUGUUACUUUUGUCAGUUGUGCUUCCGUACUCAGCCUUUUCCUCAAAAAGGCCAGUGUGUAGAGAAGGUUAAAAUUAGUAAUAAUAAAAUAAAUUAAUCAAUCUUUAAAAUGCUGAAA